GGUUGGUAGCUCAGUGGUAGAGCAUCCAGUCAAGAUUAUAGACGGUCCCAGGUUCAAUUCCUGGUGUGUGACCU
This is a non-coding RNA of Hysterangium stoloniferum, 74 nucleotides long. The record is from the annotation of a GenBank genome assembly. NCBI's taxonomy places the organism in Eukaryota, Fungi, Basidiomycota, Agaricomycetes, Hysterangiales, Hysterangiaceae.